GCCUUCCACACGCUAUCAAGUGCGGCGCCCCUGACUAUAUCGCUGCAGAGCGGCGUCGCUGUUUGCUUGAGGCGCCCCAAGCAGCAGAAUGUAAUGAAAGUUCAAGUGCAUGGGGGUGGCCGGAAGGUGUCUUAUCAGCGUGGUGGUUCAUUAUCAAAGCUAUCCACGAAGAAAACGUCCUUGAUCUACCCGCCCAGCCGACUGCACUCGCUGCAUUGCGCGCUUGGGGCCAUUGACACAUUUGAAAUCCGCAGCAGUUUUGGUCACAGUUUCCUCAGUCUAUUCUCCAGGACUGUGAAGAACUCUAUUCCGAGACUGCCGUGACGCAGCCAUUCAGUUGCAGUGACCGUACCAUAUGAACACACCACAAACCGGCCACAAAGUCUGAUGAAGAAGCUGUUGAAGUGAAAUGCAAGUUUUCUUUGCAAAAGAGGAGCAUCUUGAAAACAUCGAAUACAGUGCAAAAAGCACCCGGUGCACAAGAUUUAUUAUGGGGCAGUACGGUACGUGUGGAGAUGGAUCAACAUACGAAGUCAGAAAAGGGAUUACGAAACCGUUCAUUUGCAGCAGCGCUAAUACUAUACUGUUACGAUUUCUGGGUCAGUACAACUGGAGCUUGAGAUAUGCGUUGAAGACUGAAACUGAAAUAUCAGAUGCAAGAUUGUUUCAUGCGAAUGCAGAAACAGCUGGGUUUACUUCAUCAUGGAUAAUGUUGUGAACGCAGCAUAAAAAAUGACACAGGAGACGGCACGA
Molecule: long non-coding RNA, 753 nt
Organism: Ornithodoros turicata
Lineage: Eukaryota; Metazoa; Arthropoda; Arachnida; Ixodida; Argasidae
Exons: 2
Source: RefSeq, a predicted model, not a curated record